Molecule: long non-coding RNA, 612 nt
Filed under: Mytilus galloprovincialis (Mediterranean mussel)
Lineage: Eukaryota; Metazoa; Mollusca; Bivalvia; Mytilida; Mytilidae
Source: RNAcentral
UUUAACAGUAAUUCCAAUUGAAGUAGAUCCUGAAUAUUAAAUGAAACUUAGCAUCACUACUAAUCCAUUUCAGGAAUCGUAAUAUAACAUGAAAAUAUAUCCCAUUAGAAAACACCAAGCCACACAUAAUUCAUCUUGUAGAAUUAUUCACAAUUAGAUGGGCUAUCCAAAAAAAUUCAUUUCACAAACACUUUAAUUCCAUAUCAGGAAUCAGAAACUUAAAAUACAUCCCACAUUAAAAACACCAUGAAGCAAACAUAUAUCUACUUUUUUUAUAAACUAAAUUCACUGAUUGACAUUUUCAUCUUGACUAUUUAGAGGCACAAAAAGAAAUGGCUUAAAAUGUCCCAUAUCUAAAUAGAAUAGUCUAUUCAGGACAUUGGUCAUGAUACAUGAGGAAAGCAAGCUAGCUAUCAGUCAUUUAAAUUUUACCUUUAAGGAAUAGUGAAGAUUUUUUACUGGUUAGUUAAAUGACCACCUGUUGAUGAGUUCUCACAAUACCUAUUGUACAAUUUAAAUGGACAAAUUGUGUUGACAAUUUUUUUAUACUCAUAAUACUGGUCAAGCAAUAGGUAUUUAAAUACCACAAAGGUGAUUGGAUAAUGACAGUAA